GGGGAACGAUAACGGCGUCGAGCGGCGGACGGGUGAGUAAUGCCUAGGAAAUUGCCCUGAUGUGGGGGAUAACCAUUGGAAACGAUGGCUAAUACCGCAUGAUGCCUACGGGCCAAAGAGGGGGACCUUCGGGCCUCUCGCGUCAGGAUAUGCCUAGGUGGGAUUAGCUAGUUGGUGAGGUAAGGGCUCACCAAGGCGACGAUCCCUAGCUGGUCUGAGAGGAUGAUCAGCCACACUGGAACUGAGACACGGUCCAGACUCCUACGGGAGGCAGCAGUGGGGAAUAUUGCACAAUGGGCGCAAGCCUGAUGCAGCCAUGCCGCGUGUAUGAAGAAGGCCUUCGGGUUGUAAAGUACUUUCAGUCGUGAGGAAGGCGGCGUCGUUAAUAGCGGCGUUGUUUGACGUUAGCGACAGAAGAAGCACCGGCUAACUCCGUGCCAGCAGCCGCGGUAAUACGGAGGGUGCGAGCGUUAAUCGGAAUUACUGGGCGUAAAGCGCAUGCAGGUGGUUUGUUAAGUCAGAUGUGAAAGCCCGGGGCUCAACCUCGGAAUAGCAUUUGAAACUGGCAGACUAGAGUACUGUAGAGGGGGGUAGAAUUUC
RNAcentral lists this ribosomal RNA (600 nucleotides) under Vibrio alginolyticus. RNAcentral's name for it is "bacterial SSU rRNA". It matches the Rfam family "Bacterial small subunit ribosomal RNA", at positions 69 to 670 of the family's 1533-position model. Lineage: Bacteria; Pseudomonadati; Pseudomonadota; Gammaproteobacteria; Vibrionales; Vibrionaceae. The record is from RNAcentral.